This 467-nucleotide ribosomal RNA is filed under the name uncultured bacterium. Its description in RNAcentral is "partial 16S ribosomal RNA". It matches the Rfam family "Bacterial small subunit ribosomal RNA", at positions 28 to 507 of the family's 1533-position model. The record is from RNAcentral.
GACGAACGCUGGCGGCGUGCUUAACACAUGCAAGUCGAACGGAAAGGCCUCUUUCGGGGGGUACUCGAGUGGCGAACGGGUGAGUAACACGUGAGUAACCUGCCCUUGACUUUGGGAUAACUUCAGGAAACUGGGGCUAAUACCGGAUAGGAGCUCCUGCUGCAUGGUGGGGGUUGGAAAGUUUCGGCGGUUGGGGAUGGACUCGCGGCUUAUCAGCUUGUUGGUGGGGUAGUGGCUUACCAAGGCUUUGACGGGUAGCCGGCCUGAGAGGGUGACCGGCCACAUUGGGACUGCGAUACGGCCCAGACUCCUACGGGAGGCAGCAGUGGGGAAUAUUGCACAAUGGGUGGGAGCCUGAUGCAGCAACGCCGUGUGCGGGAUGACGGCCUUCGGGUUGUAAACCGCUUUCGCUCAUGACGAAGCUUUGUGUGACGGUAGUGGGUAAAGAAGCACCGGCUAACUACGUG